RNAcentral lists this ribosomal RNA (427 nucleotides) under Sarcocystis grueneri. RNAcentral describes it as "bacterial SSU rRNA". It matches the Rfam family "Eukaryotic small subunit ribosomal RNA", at positions 630 to 1019 of the family's 1831-position model. Lineage: Eukaryota; Apicomplexa; Conoidasida; Eucoccidiorida; Sarcocystidae. The record is from RNAcentral.
GUAGUUGGAUAUCUGCUGGAAGCAAUCAGUCCGCCCUAUUUGUAGGGUGUGCACUUGAUGAAUUCUGGCAUCUAUUAUGUCCCGAUAGUAAUUCGGAGAAGGGCUAUUGAACGAAAGUUCAGUAGCUUGUGUCUCCGAUUUUAUUAUUGGGAUAAUACUGUUACUUUGAGAAAAUUAGAGUGUUUGAAGCAGGCUAAUUGCCUUGAAUACUGCAGCAUGGAAUAACAAUAUAGGAUUUCGGUUCUAUUUUGUUGGUUUCUAGGACUGAAAUAAUGAUUAAUAGGGACAGUUGGGGGCAUUCGUAUUUAACUGUCAGAGGUGAAAUUCUUAGAUUUGUUAAAGACGAACUACUGCGAAAGCAUUUGCCAAAGAUGUUUUCAUUAAUCAAGAACGAAAGUUAGGGGCUCGAAGACGAUCAGAUACCGUC